CUCAGGGGCAGUGUCGUCCUGCAAGAACACCAGCUGCUCACACAGAUGGGUUCAGAGCACACUCACGAAAACAGUGUUCAUUGUGACCAUAAUGAGGACCGGUGGAUUCUGCUGGAAGGAGGAUUAUGUAAGAAUUCACCUCUGAGGAAGUUGAAAGGCAUCGCCCCAGGUCAGACGACUGUGAAAUCUGUACCUGAACCCGACAUGGGAAUUAUGUGAGUGUCCUUCAUUUCCCGGUCAACGAAGGAUCC
Long non-coding RNA from Seriola dumerili (greater amberjack), 251 nucleotides. RefSeq lists it as uncharacterized. The record is from RefSeq and is a predicted model, not a curated record. Lineage: Eukaryota; Metazoa; Chordata; Actinopteri; Carangiformes; Carangidae. The transcript is spliced from 3 exons.